CCGUACAUUCCAUGCAGCACCCAGCCUGUUGUCAUCCUGGUCUGAGCCACCAGAUGGCACUGUGGUAAAGAAGAAGUUACAGCAUGAUUUCUUGGCUCGGGAGACAAGGAUUCAAAUCCCGGUCAACCCUAUCGAGCAGCUCUAUCAGCUACACCACAUGAGUCAUGCUUCCUUCAUCUUAGGAGUAAAGUGUGUCAAAAACAGCAAGAUGUACACGACAAUAGCUGCCUUCAUCUAGCACUCUAGCGCACAGGACGAAGCCAACAGCUACUGUUUCCAGACCUGCCGAGCCUGAUCACCCCUCUGUGAUUGUUGCUUCUGUUAAAGGAACUUAUAAACCAUGCGCAAGAUUAGGCCAGCCCAGAAGAUGUGAAGAACCUGCAGCACCAUCAGCAGGACGUUGAAAAAGUAGUAGCCGGGAAAAGGUUUAAAAUCCUCCAUGGACAGUACCAGAGUGGUAUGGAUG
Long non-coding RNA from Perca flavescens (yellow perch), 466 nucleotides. RefSeq lists it as uncharacterized. NCBI's taxonomy places the organism in Eukaryota, Metazoa, Chordata, Actinopteri, Perciformes, Percidae. The record is from RefSeq and is a predicted model, not a curated record. The transcript is spliced from 3 exons.